UUCGAGGAAGAAUUAAGGAAGUUCGCUCGACUUGCGAGUCAAGAAGUGACGGUUCGAUUCCGUCCCUCGAAA
RNAcentral lists this transfer RNA (72 nucleotides) under Caudoviricetes sp. Its description in RNAcentral is "tRNA-OTHER". It matches the Rfam family "tRNA". Rfam says of the family: Transfer RNA (tRNA) molecules are approximately 80 nucleotides in length. Lineage: Duplodnaviria; Heunggongvirae; Uroviricota; Caudoviricetes. The record is from RNAcentral.